RNAcentral lists this transfer RNA (98 nucleotides) under Lignipirellula cremea. RNAcentral's name for it is "Planctomycetes bacterium Pla85_3_4 tRNA-Sec". It matches the Rfam family "Selenocysteine transfer RNA". The record is from RNAcentral. Lineage: Bacteria; Pseudomonadati; Planctomycetota; Planctomycetia; Pirellulales; Pirellulaceae.
GGAAGCGCUUGCUUGCCUGGUGGCGGCCGCGGUCUUCAAAACCGUUGGGACGUGCGUCAAACGUGGGUCCGGUGGGUUCGAUUCCCAUGCGCUUCCGC